UCUAAUACCGGAUACUGAUCAUCUUGGGCAUCCAAGGUGUUCGAAAGCUCCGGCGGUGCAGGAUGAGCCCGCGGCCUAUCAGCUUGUUGGUGAGGUAGUGGCUCACCAAGGCGACGACGGG
This 121-nucleotide ribosomal RNA is filed under the name Streptomyces paradoxus. RNAcentral's name for it is "partial 16S rRNA". It matches the Rfam family "Bacterial small subunit ribosomal RNA", at positions 162 to 283 of the family's 1533-position model. Lineage: Bacteria; Bacillati; Actinomycetota; Actinomycetes; Kitasatosporales; Streptomycetaceae. The record is from RNAcentral.